AGCUUUAUAGUCAAUGUAUGAUAUUAGACUGCAAUUCUAAGGUAGAAAAUUUAUUUCUAAAGCUU
RNAcentral lists this transfer RNA (65 nucleotides) under Sastragala edessoides. Its description in RNAcentral is "tRNA-Cys". The record is from RNAcentral. Lineage: Eukaryota; Metazoa; Arthropoda; Insecta; Hemiptera; Acanthosomatidae.